CAGCCGCCGCGGUAAUACGAAGGGGGCUAGCGUUGCUCGGAAUUACUGGGCGUAAAGCGCACGUAGGCGGAUUUUUAAGUCAGGGGUGAAAUCCCGAGGCUCAACCUCGGAACUGCCUUUGAUACUGGAGAUCUUGAGUUCGGAAGAGGUUGGUGGAACAGCUAGUGUAGAGGUGAAAUUCGUAGAUAUUAGCUAGAACACCAGUGGCGAAGGCGGCCAACUGGUCCGAUACUGACGCUGAGGUGCGAAAGCGUGGGGAGCAAACAGGAUUAGAUACCCCAGUAGUCCCUGUCUCUUAUAC
This 301-nucleotide ribosomal RNA is filed under the name uncultured bacterium. Its description in RNAcentral is "partial 16S ribosomal RNA". It matches the Rfam family "Bacterial small subunit ribosomal RNA", at positions 509 to 807 of the family's 1533-position model. The record is from RNAcentral.